CGUGUAGGCGGUUUCUUAAGUCUGAUGUGAAAGCCCCCGGGCUCAACCCGGGAAGUGCAUUGGAUACUGGGAGACUUGAAUACGGGAGAGGGUAGUGGAAUUCCUAGUGUAGGAGUGAAAUCCGUAGAUAUUAGGAGGAACACCGGUGGCGAAGGCGGCUACCUGGACCGAUAUUGACGCUGAGACGCGAAAGCGUGGGGAGCAAACAGGAUUAGAUACCCUGGUAGUCCACGCCGUAAACGAUGAGGACUAGGUGUUGCGGGUAUUGACCCCUGCAGUGCCGCAGCUAACGCAUUAAGUUCUCCGCCUGGGAAGUACGGUCGCAAGACUAAA
Molecule: ribosomal RNA, 333 nt
Filed under: uncultured bacterium
Lineage: Bacteria
Description: bacterial SSU rRNA
Rfam family: Bacterial small subunit ribosomal RNA
Source: RNAcentral